This is a long non-coding RNA of Astatotilapia calliptera (eastern happy), 799 nucleotides long. The record is from Ensembl. Lineage: Eukaryota; Metazoa; Chordata; Actinopteri; Cichliformes; Cichlidae.
CUUUUUUGUUCCUCAGGUACAGUACGUGAUAUCAAGGGCAGGCGGUCAACACUGGGGAAGACAAGAAGCAGACGUACUUCCAAGAGGGAGCUGCAGUGAGGUCAGAGGAGGCGCUGGAAGGUUUCCCUAAUAGUUCCUGGUGAAUCAAAGCAGAACCAUAAAGAUUGCUGGACUGCAUGAUGGCCUUACCCCUGAGCAGUCAUCCUGUUAAAGGAGGAACCAGUUAGAAGCUGUUUUCAACGUAGCUGAGCAGAUUUCAUCUCAACAGACAAAGCCGAUUGCAGAAGAUGUCGGAGAAGAACUUCAGGCCGUGGACUGAAAAGAUCAAAGCAGCUCGUGCUCCUUCUGCUUCCAAUUUAGAAGAAGAAGAAGAAGAAGGCGAAGGCUUCAGCGAAGUGGCGUUCAUGAACAGUCACGGUCACACACUGCAUGUGGUUUUAAAAGCAACAUGUCUGUUCACCACAACAAUGGAGAUGUGUAAUAUUAGUGCAGCUACGGUUUGUUUUUGAACAUCAGUUCUGUUUUCUACUUUGAUCACUUAGACCAAAAAAGUGUUGUUUUCAGAUUCUUUCUUUUACAUCUAUAAAGCACCUGCUCAUUUUUAUUACAAUUAGUUUCACAUGAAUGUUAGUGUUUCCUUUAUGAUCUUUUAAUGCUUUCACUACACUGUACACGUCUACAUUAGAGACAUUUCUGUUUCCUGUUUCUGUUGACUCAGAGUUGUGAAAUGUUCUUUUAUUUGAUACACAAUAUGAAGUUCAUAAUUUUCUUACAAAUAAAACUCUAAUGACAAACAUGA